RNAcentral lists this ribosomal RNA (252 nucleotides) under uncultured bacterium. RNAcentral describes it as "partial 16S ribosomal RNA". It matches the Rfam family "Bacterial small subunit ribosomal RNA", at positions 524 to 776 of the family's 1533-position model. The record is from RNAcentral.
UACGGGGGGAGCAAGCGUUGUUCGGAUUUACUGGCGUAAAGGGCGCGUAGGCGGUCAGCACAAGUCAGUUGUGAAAUCUCCGGGCUUAACUCGGAAAGGUCAACUGAUACUGUGCGACUAGAGUGCGGAAGGGGCAACUGGAAUUCUCGGUGUAGCGGUGAAAUGCGUAGAUAUCGAGAGGAACACCUGCGGCGAAGGCGGGUUGCUGGGCCGACACUGACGCUGAUGCGCGAAAGCCAGGGAGCGAACGGG